Molecule: long non-coding RNA, 2504 nt
Organism: Herpailurus yagouaroundi (jaguarundi)
Lineage: Eukaryota; Metazoa; Chordata; Mammalia; Carnivora; Felidae
Exons: 2
Source: RefSeq, a predicted model, not a curated record
GCAGGCUCUCAGCUUUGAUUAGCAUAUAUUAAGGGCGCAGAAUGAGAAAGGUGUCCGGCCUCCUGUGGGCAUGUGGACAUAAACGCCCUCCUGCCCUCCAGAAACCAAGCACUGAGGCAAGAGGAAGGGCCUGACGGGUUGACUUGUCACUCCAGGCUUUUCUCAUCUCUGUCCCUUCUAGGCCGACGCCUGUCAGGCCAGGCCGGGGCCACAAAUGGACCGGGGGGGGGGGGGCUGGAAAACCCCCCUCCAUGGGUAUGUGGGCGAUUUUACUUCGAUUUCGCGGACUGUUUCUCCAACCUCCUCAAGAAUGGUCUGCAGUGGACACAGCUGUGUCAAAUCAAGUUCAAGUCCUUUCUCUAAAUAGCCUUUUGUGGCCAUCUGGAUAUCUCUUCCUUAGGAUGGAGAGCAUCUGGUAUUAUUAUGAAUUGUUAUUAUUAAUAUCAAUAAUAAGAGUCUGCCUUUAUUGAGUGUUCACCAUGCCACCCACUUAACAUAUAGCAUCUCAUUUAAUCUUCAUAACACCCCCAAGAGAUGGAUGUUCUUCUGUAGGUGAGGAAACUGGGGUGCAGAGAGGUGAAGCAGCACGUCCAUGCUGACCCUACGGGUGGAGGCCCCUUCUUAAAUGUGUUGCCCCUUCUCUUCUCUCCUGAGCAUCUAGGACAAACUAGACCCACAAAGAAUCUUCACUCAGGAGGCACUUCUUCGGCCAAGGGCACCUCUCACCUGUGAGCUCUUUUCAGCGUAGGAAGGAUUCCGGAUUCUCUGUGGACCCCAUGGCCUCUGUAGCCCUCCCUGAACAGCCAGGACCCUCUAUCUGUGGAGGUCCCGGCCAUCCCGUUACUUGCUUGCCUGUGACAAAUAUGGGGCUGGCACUUCAGCAGGGAGAAGGAGCAGCAGGAGUUGAUCAAUUCCUAAGCAACAAAGAUCCUGUUUUCAUGCAAACGUCCUCGGCAUUAAAACAAAAACAAAUUCUUCCCGGGGCGCGUCCUGGAUGCCAAGUCUCCUUGCAAGACACAUUUUUAAGCGGGGUUCUGCGCCUGCGUGAGAGACUAACGGGGAAUGGGAGGAGAGCUGUGUGCCAGGUGUCAGGAGGCAAUGCAGGACCUUAAGGUGGCAUGGCAACAAGUGCCUUGAGUUCCGAGCAGGUAGGGACCACCGAGGGCUUCCUGGAGGAGGGAGUUAUUCCGAUUCAACUCAGGGGUCUCCUGACUGAUGGUGUUGGCCUGAUCUUGCAGGACCUGGGUGCCCACCAACACCAGCACUACUGGAACAUCGCCAGGGUCACUGGGCUAGCCCAACAGUUACAGAAACAUCCACAGGGCAUCUGGCCUCCAGCUGGCUCCAGCCGUUUUGUCCUUUAUGAACACGGGGGUUCAAAGGCAACAAACACUGUUAACGGCUCAAGGGCAGGGCCACACAAUUUGUUUUUGGCAAAUAACUAGCAAUACCAGGACUGCAGCAUUUUAGUGCUGCAAGAUCACCUGCUACCACCCCCUUACCGCUGAUGCCUUGCCCAAGGCUCCCGGUCCAGCCAAGACUCCAGCUCAAACCUCUUUUCUCCUGCUCUCUGAGACCUUCUGUGCAGCCUCCUUUUCUCACACUGUGGAGGUAUUCUCUGGCUUCAGCACAUGCCCAGAAGCACUACUGGGCUGGAUACUGGGAGACACGGAGCACACAGCACCAGGCUGCGGUCUUCUCAAGCUAGCCUGCGAGCAAUUCCAGGGCAGGAGGAGCGCCUUCCCAGUGCAUCUCUCUUCCCAGCGCCUACCACAGCAAGGGGGACGGGGCAGGCAAAGGUCUGGUGCUGGGCACAGUAAACGGGCAAGUCUGGCAGGAUUAAAGGGCCCAUAAAGGGGCUUUGUGGCAAGAAUCAGCUAAUUAGAGUGGAAAGAGCAUGGACUUGGGGUAGAAAAGAUGUGGGCUGGCAUCCAACACUGUCACCAUGUCCGGGGAUUGAGAGGGUUCCCCAUUAUCCAUGUUCUCUUCCUGCCAAGCAUGCAGCGGGACUCCACUUCCCAGUCUUCCUUGCAGUUAGGAUGGUCAUGUGGCUACACUCUGGCCAGUGGACUGAAAGCGGAAGUAAUGUGGGGCAAUUUCAGGCCCAGCCCCUGAAAACCUCCCACAUGUGGGUCUUCCAUCUACCAAUUGACCCAGAGUGCUCCCAGGACCGGGUUCCCGAAUCCCUGUGUGGAAGACCACCUGCCAAACAUCUGCACUGAAUCGUGUUCGCAGGAAAUAAACUCCUAAAGCGUUACGCUAUUAAAAUUUGGGGGUUACUGCUGUUAGCCGAACCUAAUACAGUCUCUUACUAGCCAUGUGGCUUUGGAUAAGUUUCUUAACCUCCUGAAGCUCCAAUUUCCUCAUCUGUAAAAUGAGAAUUUAAAAAACCUUCCUGAGAAUGACUGGGCUAACAUUUGUGAAGAUCUCACAAUCAAGGCUGCAUUAUGACUUUUGUGAGCCCUAUACAUUUUUGCCUUUAUGGGUCCCUUCCUGCAUUAAAU